RNAcentral lists this ribosomal RNA (468 nucleotides) under uncultured bacterium. Its description in RNAcentral is "partial 16S ribosomal RNA". It matches the Rfam family "Bacterial small subunit ribosomal RNA", at positions 28 to 507 of the family's 1533-position model. The record is from RNAcentral.
GACGAACGCUGGCGGCGUGCUUAACACAUGCAAGUCGAACGGAAAGGCCCGGCUUUUGUAGGUUGCUCGAGUGGCGAACGGGGGAGUAACACGUGAGUAACCUGCCCUUGACUGUGGGAUAACUUCUGGAAACUGGGGCGAAUACCGGAUAGGAGCUCUUGCUGCAUGGUGUUGUUUGGAAAGAUUCGGCGGUGGGGGAUGGACUGGCGGGUUAUGAGCUUGUUGGUGUGGUAGUUGCUUACCAGGGGUUUGACGGGUAGCCGGCCUGAGAGGGUGACCGGCCACAUUGGGACUGAGAUACGGCCCAGACUCCUACGGGAGGCAGCAGUGGGGAAUAUUGCACAAUGGGCGGAAGCCUGAUGCAGCAACGCCGCGUGCGGGAUGACGGGCUUCGGGUUGUAAACCGCUUUCGCCUGUGACGAAGCGUGAGUGACGGUAAUGGGUAAAGAAGCACCGGCUAACUACGUG